CUUAAUAUGCAAGAAAUAUUAAUGACACUUAUAUUAAUAUGCUCGGCCAUCAUUAAAAUUUAUUGUUUAAUAUACAGUAGAAAAUUGAUUAUUAAAGACUUUUUAUUUACUAUAAUUUAUUAUAUUAUCAUAUUGCAUUCAAGAAUAGUUGAAAAAUUGAGAGAAAAUCUUAUUUCAUGUAUUGCACAUAAAGACUCGACUUUUAUGAAGUUCUCUAUUCGACAUAUAGAUGUCAGUAUUAAAGACAGAGUUUCUGCUUAACAAUCAUUAAUAUUCUUACUUAAUAUGCAAUAGAAAUUUGUUUAUCAAAACCUUCUAUUUUUUGAAUAAUUUAUUACACUGCUAUAUUGUAUUUAUAAAUAGUUGAAAACAAAGGGAAAAAAUUAUAUCCCGCUCAUCGCAAGGGUUAUAUUACUAGUAAUAGCUAAUAUACGUUGCUUUUGUCAUUGAUGUCUACAUUAUUAUUAUUUUUUUUGUGCAAACGAGUAAAAAAAUAUAUCUAGUUUUCUUUACAUUACAUAGAAAUAAUUUUAUAGUGGAUGGUAUAUUAGUAUAGAAAGUUUUAUAGGAGCUGAGAGUGGGCGGCUGAGUAAAGAGAGCCGAUUUGGAGUAUUGACAUUUUAGCGAAGCACCCAUGCAUGAUCUAACCCAACCCAACUUCUCAUAUGAGUCUGGUCGAAUUUUACUGGGUUGGGUAAGUCGCCAAGCGCUUGGCUCGAACUCCACGCAUCAUCGUAUAUUUCGCGUCGAAAAUCCUGUAUAUCUGCCGUCCGCAUGCCCUCCUUCGAAGCCAUUGUCCCGCUGGUGUAAAGGGUAGUUCUAUAUACA
This 828-nucleotide long non-coding RNA is filed under the name Phoenix dactylifera (date palm). RNAcentral's name for it is "long non-coding RNA (PDAC_LNC017591)". Lineage: Eukaryota; Viridiplantae; Streptophyta; Magnoliopsida; Arecales; Arecaceae. The record is from RNAcentral.